This 460-nucleotide ribosomal RNA is filed under the name uncultured bacterium. RNAcentral describes it as "partial 16S ribosomal RNA". It matches the Rfam family "Bacterial small subunit ribosomal RNA", at positions 338 to 795 of the family's 1533-position model. The record is from RNAcentral.
CCUACGGGAGGCAGCAGUGAGGAAUAUUGGUCAAUGGACGAGAGACUGAACCAGCCAAGCAGCGUGAAGGAUGAAUGUACUGAGGGUCGUAAACCUCUUUUAUAUGGGAACAAAAUCUUCGACGCGUCGGAUUUUGUAUGUACCUUAUGAAUAAGGAUCGGCUAACUCCGUGCCAGCAGCCGCGGUAAUACGGAGGAUGCGAGCGUUGUCCGGUUUUAUUGGGUUUAAAGGGAGCGUAGGUGGGUUUGUAAGUCAGUUGUCAAAGUGUGGGGCUCAACCCUAACCUGGCAGUUGAAACUGGCAGUCUUGAGUGGGAUAGAGGUAGGCGGAAUGCGAGGUGUAGCGGUGAAAUGCAUAGAUAUCGCGAAGAACUCCGAUUGCGAAGGCAGCUCACUGGAUUGCAACUGACGCUGAGGCACGAAAGUGUGGGUAUCAAACAGGAUUAGAUACCCGUGUAGUC